AUUGAACGCUGGCGGCAUGCUUUACACAUGCAAGUCGAACGGCAGCGCGGGCUUCGGCCUGGCGGCGAGUGGCGAACGGGUGAGUAAUGCAUCGGAACGUGCCCAGUAGUGGGGGAUAGCCCAGCGAAAGCCGGAUUAAUACCGCAUACGACCUGAGGGUGAAAGCGGGGGACCGAAAGGCCUCGCGCUAUUGGAGCGGCCGAUGUCGGAUUAGCUAGUUGGUGGGGUAAAGGCUUACCAAGGCGACGAUCCGUAGCUGGUCUGAGAGGACGACCAGCCACACUGGGACUGAGACACGGCCCAGACUCCUACGGGAGGCAGCAGUGGGGAAUUUUGGACAAUGGGGGCAACCCUGAUCCAGCCAUGCCGCGUGCGGGAAGAAGGCCUUCGGGUUGUAAACCGCUUUUGUUCGGGAAGAAAUCCUCUGGGCUAAUACCCCGGGGGGAUGACGGUACCGGAGGAAUAAGCACCGGCUAACUACGUG
RNAcentral lists this ribosomal RNA (484 nucleotides) under uncultured bacterium. Its description in RNAcentral is "partial 16S ribosomal RNA". It matches the Rfam family "Bacterial small subunit ribosomal RNA", at positions 28 to 507 of the family's 1533-position model. The record is from RNAcentral.